UUGAAAACGUUGACCGGGACGAGUACCCGCGACGCCCGUAACAGAGAGGCGGAGGCCAUUGGCUGAAAGCGCCGCCCACGAGGCUCAUGGUGAAAACCCCCCGGGAGUGGUUCCCCGAACGCCGCGGCCGGUAAGGGAACCCGGAUGGCCCCGUUAGCGGCCACCAGAGCGCGCCGGCCGUUGGGCCGCGCGGAAAUUGGGUGGAAUCGCGACGCCGUCGCCCCAUGU
RNAcentral lists this non-coding RNA (228 nucleotides) under Promineifilum breve (SeqCode). Lineage: Bacteria; Bacillati; Chloroflexota; Ardenticatenia; Promineifilales (SeqCode); Promineifilaceae (SeqCode). The record is from RNAcentral.